AAAAAAGUAUGCAAGAACUGCUAACUCCUGCCCCCAUACAUAAAAAUAUGGCUUUUUUA
Molecule: transfer RNA, 59 nt
Filed under: Manis pentadactyla (Chinese pangolin)
Lineage: Eukaryota; Metazoa; Chordata; Mammalia; Pholidota; Manidae
Also listed under: 2 other names
Description: tRNA-Ser
Source: RNAcentral